AGGUUUUCUAAGAUGCCUGCUGGGAACCUAGUGGUGUCUCUCUUUUGCCUUCUCACCUUGUUUUCAACCUGCUCCAUCCAGAACAGCCCCGGAGGAGGAAAGAGGUUCCUUCCUUAUCCAGGAUUCCGACUGUGUACCUCUUGUGGCGGUGUCCAGAAAGGGAAUUGCCAUGGGCCAGACCUCUGUUGUGUAAAGGGGGCCUGCUUUGGUGGGGCUGAAGUGAAGUUGUCCUGUGUGAAGGAGAAGUCUUUUCCUCUGGGUUGCACAGCCGGUUGGAAGCGCUGCGAAGCGGGCGGACGAUGCGUUCGCCCCGGCCUUUGCUGCACUGAUGAGGGCUGCCUCAUGAAUCCUUCCUGCCCACAAUGAAAAAGAUGACCGACGGUGGAUGUAAGCCAAACCUAUAACCCAUGAAAUGAAAUAACGGAAUAACAUGGAAAUGCUCCGUGCAAAACCAGUUCUAAAUUAAAAAUAAAUAAAUAAAUCCUGCAUUGUGCAA
Molecule: long non-coding RNA, 496 nt
Organism: Crotalus tigris (Tiger rattlesnake)
Lineage: Eukaryota; Metazoa; Chordata; Lepidosauria; Squamata; Viperidae
Exons: 3
Source: RefSeq, a predicted model, not a curated record